GCGCGAAACCUUUACAAUGCACGCAAGUGUGAUAAGGGAAUCCAAAGUGCUUUGCUUUGCAAGGCUUUUGCCAAAUGUAAAUAAUUUGGCGAAUAAGCGGUGGGAAAGACUGGUGCCAGCCGCCGCGGUAACACCAGCGCCGCAAGUGGCAAUCCUUUUUAUUUGGCCUAAAGCGUCCGUAGCUGGUUAAGUAAAUCUUUUGUGAAAUUGUUCAGCUCAACUGAACAGCGUGCAGGAGACACUGCUUAGCUAGGGACCGGGAGGAGUCAGAGAUAUGUCGUGGGGAGCGGUAAAAUGCUAUAAUCCUCGAUAGAUCACCUGUGGCGAAGGCGUCUGACUAGAACGGGUCCGACAGUGAGGGACGAAAGCCAGGGGAGCAAACCGGAUUAGAUACCCGAGUAGUCCUGGCCGUAAACGCUGUGAGUUAGGUGUUGCGUAAUCUCCGCGAUUACGCAGUGUCGAAGCGAAGGUGUUAAACUCACCGCCUGGGAAGUAUGGUCGCAAGACUGAAACUUAAAGGAAUUGG
This 526-nucleotide ribosomal RNA is filed under the name uncultured euryarchaeote. RNAcentral describes it as "bacterial SSU rRNA". It matches the Rfam family "Archaeal small subunit ribosomal RNA", at positions 339 to 868 of the family's 1478-position model. The record is from RNAcentral. Lineage: Archaea; Methanobacteriati; Methanobacteriota.